CCUACGGGUGGCAGCAGUGGGGAAUAUUGGACAAUGGGCGAAAGCCUGAUCCAGCCAUGCCGCGUGUGUGAAGAAGGCCUUCGGGUUGUAAAGCACUUUCAGUGGGGAAGAAAGCCUUGGGGCUAAUACCCUCGAGGAAGGACAUCACCCACAGAAGAAGCACCGGCUAACUCCGUGCCAGCAGCCGCGGUAAUACGGAGGGUGCGAGCGUUAAUCGGAAUUACUGGGCGUAAAGCGCGCGUAGGCGGUCUGAUAAGCCGGUUGUGAAAGCCCCGGGCUCAACCUGGGAACGGCAUCCGGAACUGUCAGGCUAGAGUGCAGGAGAGGAAGGUAGAAUUCCCGGUGUAGCGGUGAAAUGCGUAGAGGUCGGGAGGAAUACCAGUGGCGAAGGCGGCCUUCUGGACUGACACUGACGCUGAGGUGCGAAAGCGUGGGUAGCAAACAGGAUUAGAUACCCGAGUAGUC
Molecule: ribosomal RNA, 465 nt
Filed under: Vreelandella stevensii
Lineage: Bacteria; Pseudomonadati; Pseudomonadota; Gammaproteobacteria; Oceanospirillales; Halomonadaceae
Description: partial 16S ribosomal RNA
Rfam family: Bacterial small subunit ribosomal RNA
Source: RNAcentral